GCACGGCGUGGUCGACGCGGCGGUCAUGCGGCCUUCUCGCGGUCGCGGCUGGCCUCCGAGUUGAGAGGGUCAUCGCCCUCGCGGCGCA
Molecule: transfer RNA, 88 nt
Filed under: Methylobacterium radiotolerans
Lineage: Bacteria; Pseudomonadati; Pseudomonadota; Alphaproteobacteria; Hyphomicrobiales; Methylobacteriaceae
Description: tRNA-Glu
Source: RNAcentral